ACGGGUAUUCUUAGGUGAAUAAUACCAAAACGAGAUGUUAUUGCUUGAGAAUACACGUAA
RNAcentral lists this microRNA precursor (60 nucleotides) under Euprymna scolopes. RNAcentral's name for it is "Esc-Mir-137_pre stem-loop". It matches the Rfam family "mir-137 microRNA precursor family", at positions 8 to 66 of the family's 72-position model. Lineage: Eukaryota; Metazoa; Mollusca; Cephalopoda; Sepiida; Sepiolidae. The record is from RNAcentral.